GCGGAAAUAGCUCAGUGGUAGAGCAUCGCCUUGCCAAGGCGAGGGUCGCGAGUUCGAAUCUCGUUUUCCGCUCCA
RNAcentral lists this transfer RNA (75 nucleotides) under Dendrosporobacter quercicolus. RNAcentral describes it as "tRNA_Gly_GCC". It matches the Rfam family "tRNA". Rfam says of the family: Transfer RNA (tRNA) molecules are approximately 80 nucleotides in length. The record is from RNAcentral. Lineage: Bacteria; Bacillati; Bacillota; Negativicutes; Selenomonadales; Sporomusaceae. RNAcentral also lists the same sequence under 12 other names.